AGGCCUACUUAGUGGAGGUCUGGUCAGUGGGGUCCUGGUAAAUCGGGGCCUCAUCAGUUGGGGCCUGGUCAAUGGGAACCUGGUGAGUGAGGAACUUGUCAGUGGGGCCUAGUCAGUGAAACGUGGCUGCUGGGGACACAGUCAACUGUGGUCUUGUCAGUAGGGACCUCAUUAGUUGGGGCCCAGGCAGUGGGGGCCUGGUCAGUAAAGGUCUAGUUCAGUCAGAACCUUGUCAUUUGAGGCCCGGUCAGUGGAGACCCCAACAGAGGGGGCCUUGUCAGCUGGGCCCAGUCAGUGGGGCCCUGGCAGUGGAAGCCUCAUCCGUGGGUCCUGGACAGUGAGGCCUGGUCACUGGAGGUCUAGUCAGUGGGUCCUGGUUAUUGGAGGCCUGGUAGGCAAAGACAUAGCCAGAAGCUGGUCAGUUAGAGCCCAGUCACUGGGGGUUUUGUCAUAUGGGCCAGUCAACGGGGGCCUAGGAGAGGUGGCCUCACUGGGGGUCCUGGCUAGUGGGGUCUAGUCAGCAGUGGUCUGGGGUCCUGGUAAGUUGAGGCCUCAUCAAUUGAGGCCUGGUCAGUGGGGCCUGAUCACUGGGGUUCUGGCUAGUGGGGACUGUUCAGUGAAUUUCGGGGGCAUUGGGGACCUGGUUAAUGGGCCCUAAUCAUUAGUAACCAGGUCUGGUUACUAAAGACCUGACCAGUCAGAACGUCAUCAGUCAAGGACCUGGUCAGCUGGGACCACAUCAAUGAAGGACUAGUCAGUUGGAACCUCGUCAGUUAAGGACUUGGGCAGAUGGAACCUCGUCAGUUAAGGACUUGGGCAGUUGGAACCUCGUCAGUUAAGGACUUGGACAGACGGAACCUCGUCAGUUAAGGACUUGGACAGACGGAACCUCGUCAGUUAAGGACUUGGGCCGACGGAACCUCGUCAGUUAAGGACUUGGGCAGACGGAACCUCGUCAGUUAAGGACUGGUCAGUUGGGACCUUGUCAGCUGGGCCCAUUCAGUGGGGGCCUGGCAGUGGAAGCCUCAUGAGUGUGUCCUGGACAGUGAGGCCUGGUCACUUGAGGUCUGACAGCGGGACCUAGUCAGUGAGGUUCUAGUCACUGGGUACUGGGCUCUGGGGCCUGUUCAGUAAAGUGUGCUCAGUAAAAACAUGGUCAGUUGGAGCCUUGUUGGUGGGGACCCGGUCAGUAGGCCCCUUGUCAGUUGGGCACAGUCAGUGGAGGUCUCUCUCUGGUCAGUGAGUUCUUGCACAGGCCCAGGCUGUGGGGAUGCCCGAAGCUGGGAGGAGGCGCAGACAGCAGGAAGGAGAGAAGGAAGGAAGGAGCUUCCUGAGUAUAGAUGCCUACGAAGUCAUAACACGUGGGCUGUUUCUACUGCAACGCCAUAUUCGCUGUUUCUUUCCCACAUGAUUCUCUAUUCACCUGGCCUCAGUUGAACAAAAAACUAUCCUGUACCACCACAAAUAGUUGGCAAUGGCUCUUUGAGAGCAGUUUUUAUGCUGCUGUAGAAAUUAUCCUUGAACCAGAAAAAGUCCCCAACCCAACGUCCAGUCACUCAACACUCCCAUCUUUAUAAAGAGCUGCUACCAAAUUCUGCGUCGAUUUUUGGAAAAAAAAAAUUUUUUUUUGCUCUGGUUAAAAGUGCUUCAUCUAUGAUCUCAAGUCUCUCCCUCGAAUUGGAUGGAGACGGUGAAUCUCAGCCAAAGUGGCCAAAGAACUCGUGUCCCGCGCUCCGGAAUGCUGUCAGCCACUGCACUCCGUCUUCCCUCUUUGCUGCUCCCCAUGAUUUUGGUCUUCUGUUGGUGCUGCAGGGGCCUGUCAGGAAGUGCUGGAGGACGUGGCACUGCUCCAGCACUGGGCAGCCGGCUGCGUGGCUGAUCCCACAGAUCAGGCCCUUCCUGUGCGUGAAGAUGAAGUCCUCCUGGAGGCAGCCCAUGGCCCACUUCUCGGGUAGGUGGGACACAAAGAUGGCCGGGAACGUCACCAGACACGCAUCUACCCAGUCCAAGUGCUUGUUGCACCAUGCACCAGCGCCUGCCCAUGCGUGGGCACCAGCUUGCAGGAGAGAAAGCUCUUCAUGUUCCUGAACUUGUUCUACUGAGCGGUGUCGCCGGUGGUACACUGGAAGGGGCAGGGAUUCUCCUGCCACUUGGGGCCAUAGAGUCGCAGAGCCAUGCACAGCUUGUCCCCGUCCUUCAUAGAGUCCAAGAGGCUCCCAUAUAGGCUCAGCACCUCAUGGUCCUGCCACAAGUUCUUGCCAGGGUUCUCUGGCCUGAAAUGCACAACUGGGUGAGCUGUGCCUUGUCCCCUGCGUGGUGAUGCGUGCUGUGACUGAAGGUCCAUGGCACCGCUGUUGUCUUCCCCUACCAACCAGGGCUGGGGUUCAGGCUGGGCCCCUCUGGACCUGGGACUUGUGCCCUGGUUGGGAGCUCUGUCCCACCAGUCAAAUCAGAGGCCAUAGGGUAUGCUGCUGGCUGGCCAGGGCUGGAAGGACACCAUGCUCACCCCUCUGGCAUCCAGCUUCCCUGUUGAGAAGGACCUCCUAAAGCCCAGGAACCAUCUGAAACCGCAGAGCAGCUGGCUGGGAGCUGCCCUGGCUCCUUCCAUGCCAUGUUAGUCACUAUCCACCAAGGGAGUCCGAUGCAAGUGCCCUCAUGCAAGGGACUUAUCUCUGGACCUGCCCCUCAGUUCUCAGGGGCCGAGUAGGGCCUGGUGUUGUGGCCAAGAUGGGGUUGCAGGGCUAGGCCCUAUCGAUGGUCCUGGCGCUGUGUAGGGUGGAUGUGGAAGGGGUGGGGCCCAGCAUCCCUGUUCAAAAAUUUGCAGUGGGAACCACGGGCCUCUGACACACAACAGAGGCAACUUCAGGAAGGAGUUUAGAAAACACGUGGGUCCGUUGUGAGCCCUCAGGAUCCCCGGAAAGCAGCCUGCUGCCCUGAGCUCUCUGGAAGCCCCGUCAUGCAGAUGGGCCUCAGUCUCAGAGAGAGUCAGCCAGGCCAGGGUGGGAGAGGACCAGGGUCGCAUUCCUGGAUGGGGGCUGGCUGCAUGGGCCCCUGGAGCUAAGCUGGUGGGCAGGGGUGGGCCAGCCUGUCUCCCUUACAGAGGGGCUCACAGAGGGGGAUGCUCACAGAGGCCUGGGUGCCAGGCACCCUUGCUCAAGUUUGGCUGAAAAAAUAGCAGACAUGAAUGGUCAGCUUCUCCACUAAGCCCAUUAGGUCUUUGCAGGACUGGACCCCACAGACCUUGGUCGGCAGACCCUGAUUUCUACGUCUAACUCUGUCUUCUCUAGUCUGACUCUAACGACACGCCUGCAGGCUGCUGAUCUUAGAGCAAAGGGGGUGUGGACCCUUCAGGGUUGGGGGAACUGUCUGGGCAUCUCACGUAGCUCCUGGGAUGGUUGCUUAGGAUUCGGGCUGGCUCUGGGCUUCCUCCCUCACCUCUUCAUUCCAGGGCUGUGUGUUCUGGGUUGCAGCCCUGAUUCAGAGCCAGGUGGGAGAGGCCUUGGCUGUCACCUAGCCCCCUUGCCACCUCACACGAGACACUGUCUUCAAGGUGGGUAAGGCGGUCCUGGGCACAGGGCCCCCUCUGCCCUGCGGAGCCAUCCACUCCAUGCCUGGACUGGAUCCUUCUAACAGCUGGUGAACUUUGGAUCUGGCUCUGGCCAGGGCUCCUGUCUGUGUCCUCUCCCUGAAUCCUCUGAGUCAGAGACACUGAUUCUCUUGUUCCCCUGGCUCCAGUCUUAUUGCCCUGGUGUUCUUGGAGUGGAACUCUGGAGCAAGGGGGCCCUCCUCCUCUCCCUGCAUUUGUUGAUGUUGGGAUGGUGGUUCAAGGAGCUGGCGCAGAGGGGAGAGGAUGUAAAAAGCACAGGGGGUGUUGAGGGGUCUUUCCCCAGCCCCUGCCUGUCUGAGCAGUAUGUCCAGUAUACAUGUGCUCAGCACCUGCCCGGAGGACUGGCAGACCAAUUUCCAGUAGCCACUUAAUGUAGAAGAGGAAGAGGGAGAAAAGAGGUGCAGAAGGAAGGCUCAAGUAGUAGUAGGGCUGGUGGGGCUGGGUCCUUUCCACUAUCAAACACUCCAGAGGGUGACUCAGGAGGGAACCUGGUGCUGGAUCCCACCAGGGGAUGGCAGUUCCCAACAAUGCCUUAUCAGUUUCCCCACAAAGGCCUAAAUGUGCCUGAGCACCGUGGUGUCCUACAGGUCCCAGGGCUGGGAUAACUGGCCCUGGAAGAACUCCCUCCCGCAGGCUGGACUGGGAUAGGUUCAUGGUCACUCAAGGUUCAGGGAGGGCAUCAGGCCAGGAAGGGUUCCUGGGAGGGGUUUGUGCGCACACCCGGUUCCCUACACUGCCACCUCCCACUGGGCAGCACUGGGUCCUUCUGUGGCUACCCCGGGGGUCCCGCUGUGCACAGGAGGCCACGUGGCCAGGGGAGGCCCGGACAGGGAGGUGCCCACCACAUUUCUGCCUUUCUCACCGGUCAUUCAUUUCAAGGGUGGGCUCAGGGUCUGGGAGAACUUGCUGUGCCAUGCCCACCCCCACAGGCCAGGCCUGGCCAGCCUUGGCAUUCCUCCUGACCGGAGCAGAGGGCCAUGGGGACAGUGGCCUCAGGCCAGCCAAGCUCUGUCCUGUGAGCUCCCCAGGAAACCUUGAGCACGCAGGGACUUCUGUGAACUUUGAAGGCUGUGGGCACCAUCGCCCUUAUUGCCUUCAUCUCCAGGCUGAAUCUGAAAAGGAUCAGUGGGGACAGUAGGUGUGAGAGGACCUGGCCCUUCCAGGCUGGGAGCCAGUAGCCCAAGUUGGGCCCACAGUGGUUUCAGUCCCCUGGAGUGCGAGGGACCCCUCCCAUGGGAUGAGCUGCCACCAUGAGGCUGGGUCAGAAGAGGUCUUGCAGUUUUUCAUGGUGAGGACUGGACUCAGCAGGGAUGUGGGUCCUGGAAAGAGGGACUCCCCAGGGCCUUAGACUUCCCUGGGCUCUCCCAAGUGGACACCUGGCCCAGUCUGCCCCAGCCUCUGCAGGGUGUAUGCCCCCUCUCAGGCACUGUUGGCUCCUGUGCCCUGCCAGGACCCACCUGUGCCUCCUGCUGGGUGGGGGUGAGCCAGGUCCUCCUGGGGGAUGGGACCCCUGGGCUGGGGUAGCCAGGCAGUGUGGAGCAGGAGGGUCCCUGGGCUGGGGGAGCCAGGUAGUGUGGAGCAGGAGGGUCCCUGGGCUGGGGGAGCCAGGUAAUGUGGAGCAGGAGGGUCCCUAGGCUAGGAGCUUCCAGUGCCUCAUCACCCCAUUUAAAGGACCAGAGGAGCCAGCGAAAACGUGGAAUUCUGGGCACGCAGCUCAUCCUUGUCCUGAUGGGAGGAGCAGAGGCGCUCAGGGCCCCUUGGUCUGCCCCCACAGCGUCCCUAUUUCAGGCUCCUCUGCAGCCCUUCCCUGAGGAGCAGGCACUGAGCAGUGCCUGGGGCUCCGCAACACACCUGCCCCCAACAUCGGCCCCUGGUGGACACACUUCCCUUAGCCCAGCUCAGCCAGAGCCUGGCCCGGGUCCCAGAGCCUCUGCCAGAAAAAGGAAACCCAACUACAAUCCCAUGGAGAACCCCACAUCACAGGUCAGGCCUCUGCUGAGACUAGAGCUCUCACCCACCCCCAGUGAGGAGCCGGAACCUCCCCCCGCCAUCCCCAAGAUACUGGAGAAGAGCUGAGGACUGUCUCCUCACCAAGUCCCCAUGAGCUUUGGGAAUGAUGUAUGUAACAUGUGUUCCAGGUGAGCUUAGAGUCUCUGUAGCCUGGCACAAUUUGAGCUGUAGAAUCCCAAGAGCCCGCAACAAAAUCAGAGCCUGCUCCCAAGAUGUGGAGCUGUCAGCUAGCAGAGCUGGGCACUGGCAGAGGCCGCCAGUCCCCCAGGCCUCCCACCCUCCCAUUUGGCCACUCCAGCAUGCAGCCUCGGCCCAGGGGAGGAGAGGCAACAACAUACCCCGGAGCCCAGCUGGAGGGCUGCCUGGUGGUGCCCUGAACUGCGGUGCCAGGAGGACAGGCCCGCUGUGGAGGCUGAGAGGGAGGACUGUGGCAGGCGGGGGCCACAGGGUGAGUGGGGUAGGUGCCCAGGGUGCAUUACUGUCUCCUGGAUAUUUAUGGGGUCAAGCUGGGAAACGUGAUCAAGCAUUACCAUCUGGGUUUUGUCUAUCUGUGUAAGGAUGGGGAGGGCGGCUGGGAGCACAGUCAGCCACCAGGAGGCAGGAGGACCCUCGGAGGUGAGCAUUGCCUGCUCAAAGUCAGGGUUGGAGGACAGAGGCUCCAGGACACAGAAGGCGGCUGCAGGGAGGUUGCGAUGCUCUCUACUGCUGGGGAUGAGAGGCGUCUAACUCAGGGUAUGGGGGUCCCUGUCCAGCCCCCUGCUGACCCACAGCAGGCAACAUCCUAGUGGCUCCAAAUGAGCUGGGGACACAAGGAAGGCGCCUUGCCUGAAAGCUGGGAUCACCUGGCCAGGGUGAUCGUCCUCGGGCCUGGCUGUGUGAGUCCCUGUGGGCAGCUGUCCAUCUGCCCUGCAUGGAGUGCCUCUUACUGGCUGGCAGCUGGAUCAGCAGCAUCAGCACCUGUCUUUCCCAGGCAGAUAGCAGAGAGUGGCAGCAGUGUGGCUCGUGUUCCUGCAGUAGCCCAGCUCCUGCAAGAGCCAGAGUCACCAUGGAAGGAUGUCACCUGGGAGGGCUGAGGUCACCUGAGAGGACUGAUGUCACUGGGGAGGUCUGCCACAAGCCCCAGGGGAUUUGGGGUGCUGCCUCUUCACCCCCUCCUGACAGCAUUAGAGCUGAGUAGGUCAUGCACAUCUCAGCUGACAAUGAGUCCAAAGAGACCCUGUCAUGCCUAAGCUCACAUGGUCUGAGAGGACAUAGGAGAGGACCAUAGAUGUCCCUCCCCUCAGAUGCCAGGCCAGGGAGGACACAAUGCCAGGCUGGGGACAGCACCUGUGAACUAGGCUGGCCAACAGGGCCAGCUGGGGGCACUGACCCCCACACACAGGGUCCUCGUAAAACCCAGGGGCUGCCUGCCAGGUACGAGAGGGCGACUGGGUCCAGACCCUGUGUGUACAGCCCAUGAAGUCAACUCAGUGGCUGUCCCUCCAGGAGUGAUCUGGAAAGCGGGGGCCCAGUGGGAGCAGGCACUUCAGGAAUCCCCUCCCUGUCUGCGGUGCUCCAGUGGGGUUCAGGCGGCAGGGACAUUGGAUCCCUGCCAGUUUUCCUAUGAAGAAACAGUUUCUGCGGGGUCCAUACUCAUUUCGUGACAAGAGCCACAUCCAUCAGACACUAUGGCAGCUUGUCAAAAAUGCUUCUGGGAGCACCAUUCUGGGAUACUGACUGGCUCCUUGGCCUCAGGGCAAGCCCAGGAAGAGGGCAUCACUUGUUCUGAGACUAGGGGUCAGGCUCCCAUCAGACCAGGAGUCUGUGCCUGAGCCCUCUCCAGCUCGGCGUGACACCUCUGAGACCCUCCCUCCCUGCCAUGCUUGGAUAUCCAAGUCAGCAGCGAGCUUGAGUUGUACCCACUCCAUCUUGGUAGGUGUUGGAUACUGAAUUUUAAUGAAGCAAUGACAGCCCUCACCUGAGACACCCAGGCCUGUGACUAUGGGAAUGUGACCUGGGAAUAUCGUUGCCCCCAAGUACUCAUGGGGUUAGACGCAGAACACGCCACUCAGACAUGACAAGCGCUCAGCAGCCUAGGAAAGAGAAAAGAGGCUUUGGGUUCACACAGAUGCCGGUUUGUCCUCUCUGCUACGUUCCAACAACGAAUGGGAUUCCAGGUCCAGAGGAUGCGCUGAAUGAGCUGAUGAGCUCUUCAGGGUUACCGAGUUUGAGGAAAUGUUUUGGUAAAAGUGGAUUUUACUAUUCCCGUGUUGAAGGUUGCCUUGGUGGCCUUCAGCUGUGAGGGAGGAUAAAUUCAAGCCGUGAAUGUGGCAUGCAGAUUUUCCAUGGCCAUCGGUUUUCAAAUCAGUUGGCUCAGCCUCUGAGACUCUUCUGGGACGUGUGGCACAAGUCACUGAGUUUUCCCGAGCAGCCGUCAGAUGGACUUCCAGAGUGGCUAUGUCCCGUCACAUUCCUACUGGGUAGGAAUGAGGGUCCCUGGGGCCCCACAUCCUCCCGGCAUUUGGUGUCACUGACUGCUUGGGAAGUCUCCCGAGCCCCUCAUCCUGCCGCCCUCCCUUGGGUCAAAGCACUUGCCACCAUUCCUCACUAUUUUGUUCGCUGCUGUCUCCUCGGGAGACACUUGGGUUCUGGCCCCACAUGUCACAGCCAGGCUCAGGGCUUGGAGCCAGGCAGACACGCAGUUUAUGAUAGCUGUCUCUUGGCCCUGGAGAGCUUGUGGUGGUUCUGUCGCCCCUCCUGGGUGACACCGGCCUCUGCUCUGGUGAAGCCUCCAUGCCUCUGGUUCACCCCAUCUCCCCAGGGACUCUCCAGCCCCGCAGGCCCUUACUUGACACUAUACUGUGGCUGGGACAUGAUGUGGUUUCUCAGGGUAUGGCUGCCAUCCAGGUUGAUCUGGUGAAAGUUCCCGAGGGAACUCUUUCAUCCGCAUGACCUCCAGGGCCAGGCCAAGAAAAGGAAGCAGCCUCUGAACAGAAAACUUGCUGCCCCACGCAGCAGUCAUCCACGACAGCCCUUCGGGAAGGAAGGUUUCCUUCCGCAGAAACCUCCCCCUCUGCUUCGCUUCCUUACAGUCCUACGAGCCCUGGAUUUCAGGUCACCUGUGGUGCCGGUGUCACCACAUUUCUAAAAGGAUCUCACUCUAUUUCGUCCCCCACCUUCAACCCAGGCUCCUCAUUCCCUCCAGCUAGAGGCUUGGGCUCCAGACACGGACUGGCCUAAUUUGUCCCGCUCUGGCUGACUUCGGAAGAGUCUUACCUGGUAUUUCCACCGGUUCUCGGCCUUUACCUUCUUGACCUCCAAGAAGUGUGACCACACAUCUACCAAUCUACACAUUUUGGUAGAUGUGUCCCGUCUCCCAGCCAACUUGGGACAGAACACUCUGGAGAGACAGGCCCUGGGGCAGCCCCAGGGAGGAUCAGAGCCUGAGGAUUCUAGAAAUCUCCAGCCUUUGUUGAUUUUUCAGGAGAGGUGGGGUCUAUCUAGGACCAGACCUCCCCUCCCACAAUUCAGAGUUAUGAAUGGGGAUCUUGACCUAUUCCUUCCUUCCGGUCACCAGGAAGUGUCCCUGAGCUAGUGCUGGCCCAGACCUUGGCAUCACACAGUCUCCAGCAAGAUGCGGUUUGCAGGGACAAAUAGGAAAGUUGCUGUUCAGACCUCCUGUCCCGGCCGAGGACAGUGUGCCACCCACCCUCUGAGAGGCAGGCAGUACCAGGACCCAGCCAUGGGAGUCCGUCCCCCUGUCUCUGCAGAGAACGGUCAUGGGGGCCCUCCCUCCCCA
This is a long non-coding RNA of Callithrix jacchus (white-tufted-ear marmoset), 9395 nucleotides long. RefSeq lists it as uncharacterized. The record is from RefSeq and is a predicted model, not a curated record. Lineage: Eukaryota; Metazoa; Chordata; Mammalia; Primates; Cebidae.